CAGAAAGUGCCUCUGUUCCCUCAUCCUCCAAGUUCAGGUAACUCAUAUAGAUCUCGGUUAAAUGAGUCAAGACUGAUAAAGUCUUGGCCAGGGCAAUUCCACCUUCGACUCCAAACAUGUUGUCACGAAGAUCAAGUUUCUUCAAGUGGCUACAGUGUUCAAGUGCUUCAGCUAGUGCAACACCACCUUCUGAACCAAUCCUUGUAGAUGAACACCGG
Molecule: long non-coding RNA, 218 nt
Organism: Arabidopsis thaliana (thale cress)
Lineage: Eukaryota; Viridiplantae; Streptophyta; Magnoliopsida; Brassicales; Brassicaceae
Product: other RNA
Exons: 1
Source: RefSeq